UUCCUUUGAUUUUGGGGAAGAUAUAAAGCGAGCAGCACUUUUAAUACAUGCUAGGAAGACAGACGCAUGCGUAGUUUUAUCUAUAGACGUGCAAAUGCUCCGUACAGGUGAGUAAUGCUUCGGAAUGAAUCAAUUACUUAAAAAACAAUAGUUAAUUGAUGGGCCAGAGUCGUAUUAGGUAAAGAAAGAUUAAAGAUUUCUUACCAAAGAUGCGUAGCUGAAAAGCCACACUUCCACUGAAACAAGGGGGAGACUCGGUAUAGAGGCAGCAGUAGAGAAUCUUGUGCAAUGUAUGAAAGUAUGACACAGAGAUGUUGCAAAAGAAGACCGUCCAAUAUACGUGCCAGCAGACGCGGUUAUACGUAAGGUCUAAGUUUUUAUCAGAAAAGGCGUAAAGGGUGUGUCGGCGUUAAUUCGAGUAAUUUGAUAUUAUAAACAAUGAGAAUCAAAUAACGAGGAUAAGGAGUUUUAGGGGGUAAAUGGAAUUUUUAUGUAGCGGUAGAAUGCUUUUAUAUAAAUAAGAACCCCGUAGGCGAAAGCGGUUUACUACUAAAAACUGACGCGGAAACACGAAAGUAAGGGGAGCAAAUAGGAUUAGAUACCCUAGUAGUCCUUACUGUAAAUUAUGAAUAUAAGAUCACAAACUGGAAUAAUUAAAGUUAAUCCCUUCAAAUGUGGUCAACAAAAACUUAAAAUAAUUCCGCCUGAAGAGUACGAUCGCAAGAUUAAAAUUCAAAAAAUUUGGCGGUUCACUAAUCCAAUUAGAGGAGCGUGUGGUUUAAUUCGAUAGUCCGCGAUUAACCUUACCAAAAUUAGAAGCAAGCACGGCCUUUAGGAGUUUAUUAAUCAUUCUAGACGGGCUUGAAUUCAGGUAUUGCAUGGCCGUCGUCAGUUCGUGUUGUGAAAGGAAUAGAACGAACUUAACCCUUAAUCAAAAUUAUUAUUUUUAAUUCAUUAAUUUCUGGUUUAAGGAUGACGUCAGGUCCUUAUGAUCCAUAUGUUUUGGGCUUUACAUGCGCUACAAUUUUAUACACAAAAAGAUUUUAAAACCUUUAAAGUAAAAGUUCGGAAAACUCUUUGAAAUAAGGAGUAUGAAGUUGGAUUUAAUAGUAAUCAGAAAGUAGAGCGUUCUGGUGAAUAUGGCUCUAGUGUUCGUACAAAUCGCCCGUCAUCUCUACCGAGUAAAGAGUCUUAAAGUGUUAAGUUAUAAGUAAUUUAUGCUUAAAUGAAAGAAAAAAAAUAAAAUAUGUUUAACUUCAAAAAUUUGAUAUUAUAAAUAUUUUUAAACUUUAAUUUGUAAUUUAGCAUCACGGAGGGUUUAUAAGGUUGAGGAAGUCGUAACACAGCGGGGGUAUUGGAAAAUGUCCCCAGAUUAAU
This 1377-nucleotide ribosomal RNA is filed under the name Pseudosuberites sp. CY-2021. RNAcentral's name for it is "small subunit ribosomal RNA". It matches the Rfam family "Bacterial small subunit ribosomal RNA". The record is from RNAcentral. Lineage: Eukaryota; Metazoa; Porifera; Demospongiae; Suberitida; Suberitidae.